UUUCAUGAAAAGAAUUAUGAAGGAGAACGUAGAAGGGAUAGAAAUUUGUUUUUGUAAGAUAUUGGUAAAGUAGAUUAAUCAUUCCUAGGAUAGUCAAUUCAAUAGGAUGGGUGAUUGAAUUAGUUGUGAAAAAUAAUUAAGUACGGAAUGACAGUUAAAAUCUGGAAUUUCAGAAGUAAAGCAUAAAUAAGUUGAAGAAGAUAUUGUAAGGGCCAGACUGUGAUAGUCAUGAACCAAGGUAAGCUUGGUGCUACCUCUUUGUUUUUUUGUUAUUGAAGAGUAAUGGAUAGUUUUUGAAUAAUGAGAAGUGAAUCUGUGAAAUAAAUUAGAAAUUGAUUUAUAAAUUAUUGAUUAUGUAAUUGGAGUAUUAUGUGAUUGAAUUAUAUGAGAAGUUAUUAAAAGAUUGAUUAUGGAUGAAAGAUUAUGAUUGUUGUUUAUUGAGAGUUGUAGGUAUUUUGGAGAAAAGAAGUCCAUGAUUACAGAAAUUCUAUGAAUCUAGAUUGGUUGGAGUGAAGUCUGUUAUUCUUGGUGUUAAAUGGAAUUUAUGAAUUUUGAGUAGUCUUUUAAGAGUACAAGGUUGCACACUAUUGUUAUCAGUUGAUGAAGGAGUAUUGUUACUAGAAGGAAGCAUUGUAGUAUUUCUUAGUAUUUUAGUGGUUUGGAAUACAGUU
Molecule: long non-coding RNA, 671 nt
Filed under: Physcomitrium patens
Lineage: Eukaryota; Viridiplantae; Streptophyta; Bryopsida; Funariales; Funariaceae
Description: long non-coding RNA (PPAT_LNC008008)
Source: RNAcentral